AUGCUGUACCGAUCCCUAGGGCGCCUCGCCGAACGGUACGGCCUGCUGAUGACGCAUCGGUUGGACACGGUUGUGGUGUACGUCGAUCGCCUUCUCCGCGGCCACGGCCUGGGGUCGGCGCCGAACACCUACUGUCAUCCAUGCGGCUUCACGGAGGCGCUAAGUGGCCGGCUGGCCGCAGCUGCGGACGCUGUCCUCGGCAUUCUUCCGUCGCACAUCGGAGCUGGCGGAGUACGGCCCGCCCGAGGAGGUCGGCCACCAGGCGUUCGCGUCCAUGAUAGACUUGCAGUGGCGCGUUAUGUUCUCGACCGGCUUCGACGAGCCGACGUCCCGUGUGUUGCCGUGUGA
Molecule: ribosomal RNA, 348 nt
Filed under: Triticum aestivum (bread wheat)
Lineage: Eukaryota; Viridiplantae; Streptophyta; Magnoliopsida; Poales; Poaceae
Description: partial small subunit ribosomal RNA
Source: RNAcentral